This 24-nucleotide non-coding RNA is filed under the name Mus musculus (house mouse). The record is from RNAcentral. Lineage: Eukaryota; Metazoa; Chordata; Mammalia; Rodentia; Muridae.
UCCCCUCACGGACAUAUACUGGAC